This 448-nucleotide ribosomal RNA is filed under the name uncultured bacterium. RNAcentral describes it as "bacterial SSU rRNA". It matches the Rfam family "Bacterial small subunit ribosomal RNA", at positions 329 to 794 of the family's 1533-position model. The record is from RNAcentral.
UGCCAGACUCCUACGGGAGGCAGCAGUGGGGAAUUUUGCGCAAUGGGGGAAACCCUGACGCAGCAACGCCGCGUGCGGGACGAAGGCCCUCGGGCUGUAAACCGCUUUCAGCAGGGAGGACAUCGACGGUACCUGCAGAAGAAGCUCCGGCUAACUACGUGCCAGCAGCCGCGGUAAUACGUAGGGAGCAAGCGUUAUCCGGAUUUAUUGGGUGUAAAGGGUGCGUAGACGGGAAUUUAAGUUAGUUGUGAAAUCCCUCGGCUUAACUGAGGAACUGCAACUAAAACUGAAUUUCUUGAGUGCGGGAGAGGAAAGUGGAAUUCCUAGUGUAGCGGUGAAAUGCGUAGAUAUUAGGAGGAACACCAGUGGCGAAGGCGACUUUCUGGACCGUAACUGACGUUGAGGCACGAAAGUGUGGGGAGCAAACAGGAUUAGAUACCCCGGUAAC